RNAcentral lists this ribosomal RNA (2904 nucleotides) under Escherichia coli. RNAcentral describes it as "23S ribosomal RNA". It matches the Rfam family "Bacterial large subunit ribosomal RNA". The record is from RNAcentral. Lineage: Bacteria; Pseudomonadati; Pseudomonadota; Gammaproteobacteria; Enterobacterales; Enterobacteriaceae.
GUUAAGCGACUAAGCGUACACGGUGGAUGCCCUGGCAGUCAGAGGCGAUGAAGGACGUGCUAAUCUGCGAUAAGCGUCGGUGAGGUGAUAUGAACCGUUAUAACCGGCGAUUUCCGAAUGGGGAAACCCAGUGUGUUUCGACACACUAUCAUUAACUGAAUCCAUAGGUUAAUGAGGCGAACCGGGGGAACUGAAACAUCUAAGUACCCCGAGGAAAAGAAAUCAACCGAGAUUCCCCCAGUAGCGGCGAGCGAACGGGGAGGAGCCCAGAGCCUGAAUCAGUGUGUGUGUUAGUGGAAGCGUCUGGAAAGGCGCGCGAUACAGGGUGACAGCCCCGUACACAAAAAUGCACAUAUUGUGAGCUCGAUGAGUAGGGCGGGACACGUGGUAUCCUGUCUGAAUAUGGGGGGACCAUCCUCCAAGGCUAAAUACUCCUGACUGACCGAUAGUGAACCAGUACCGUGAGGGAAAGGCGAAAAGAACCCCGGCGAGGGGAGUGAAAAAGAACCUGAAACCGUGUACGUACAAGCAGUGGGAGCCUCUUAAUGGGGUGACUGCGUACCUUUUGUAUAAUGGGUCAGCGACUUAUAUUCUGUAGCAAGGUUAACCGAAUAGGGGAGCCGAAGGGAAACCGAGUCUUAACUGGGCGUUAAGUUGCAGGGUAUAGACCCGAAACCCGGUGAUCUAGCCAUGGGCAGGUUGAAGGUUGGGUAACACUAACUGGAGGACCGAACCGACUAAUGUUGAAAAAUUAGCGGAUGACUUGUGGCUGGGGGUGAAAGGCCAAUCAAACCGGGAGAUAGCUGGUUCUCCCCGAAAGCUAUUUAGGUAGCGCCUCGUGAAUUCAUCUCCGGGGGUAGAGCACUGUUUCGGCAAGGGGGUCAUCCCGACUUACCAACCCGAUGCAAACUGCGAAUACCGGAGAAUGUUAUCACGGGAGACACACGGCGGGUGCUAACGUCCGUCGUGAAGAGGGAAACAACCCAGACCGCCAGCUAAGGUCCCAAAGUCAUGGUUAAGUGGGAAACGAUGUGGGAAGGCCCAGACAGCCAGGAUGUUGGCUUAGAAGCAGCCAUCAUUUAAAGAAAGCGUAAUAGCUCACUGGUCGAGUCGGCCUGCGCGGAAGAUGUAACGGGGCUAAACCAUGCACCGAAGCUGCGGCAGCGACGCUUAUGCGUUGUUGGGUAGGGGAGCGUUCUGUAAGCCUGCGAAGGUGUGCUGUGAGGCAUGCUGGAGGUAUCAGAAGUGCGAAUGCUGACAUAAGUAACGAUAAAGCGGGUGAAAAGCCCGCUCGCCGGAAGACCAAGGGUUCCUGUCCAACGUUAAUCGGGGCAGGGUGAGUCGACCCCUAAGGCGAGGCCGAAAGGCGUAGUCGAUGGGAAACAGGUUAAUAUUCCUGUACUUGGUGUUACUGCGAAGGGGGGACGGAGAAGGCUAUGUUGGCCGGGCGACGGUUGUCCCGGUUUAAGCGUGUAGGCUGGUUUUCCAGGCAAAUCCGGAAAAUCAAGGCUGAGGCGUGAUGACGAGGCACUACGGUGCUGAAGCAACAAAUGCCCUGCUUCCAGGAAAAGCCUCUAAGCAUCAGGUAACAUCAAAUCGUACCCCAAACCGACACAGGUGGUCAGGUAGAGAAUACCAAGGCGCUUGAGAGAACUCGGGUGAAGGAACUAGGCAAAAUGGUGCCGUAACUUCGGGAGAAGGCACGCUGAUAUGUAGGUGAAGCGACUUGCUCGUGGAGCUGAAAUCAGUCGAAGAUACCAGCUGGCUGCAACUGUUUAUUAAAAACACAGCACUGUGCAAACACGAAAGUGGACGUAUACGGUGUGACGCCUGCCCGGUGCCGGAAGGUUAAUUGAUGGGGUUAGCGGUAACGCGAAGCUCUUGAUCGAAGCCCCGGUAAACGGCGGCCGUAACUAUAACGGUCCUAAGGUAGCGAAAUUCCUUGUCGGGUAAGUUCCGACCUGCACGAAUGGCGUAAUGAUGGCCAGGCUGUCUCCACCCGAGACUCAGUGAAAUUGAACUCGCUGUGAAGAUGCAGUGUACCCGCGGCAAGACGGAAAGACCCCGUGAACCUUUACUAUAGCUUGACACUGAACAUUGAGCCUUGAUGUGUAGGAUAGGUGGGAGGCUUUGAAGUGUGGACGCCAGUCUGCAUGGAGCCGACCUUGAAAUACCACCCUUUAAUGUUUGAUGUUCUAACGUUGGCCCGUAAUCCGGGUUGCGGACAGUGUCUGGUGGGUAGUUUGACUGGGGCGGUCUCCUCCUAAAGAGUAACGGAGGAGCACGAAGGUUGGCUAAUCCUGGUCGGACAUCAGGAGGUUAGUGCAAUGGCAUAAGCCAGCUUGACUGCGAGCGUGACGGCGCGAGCAGGUGCGAAAGCAGGUCAUAGUGAUCCGGUGGUUCUGAAUGGAAGGGCCAUCGCUCAACGGAUAAAAGGUACUCCGGGGAUAACAGGCUGAUACCGCCCAAGAGUUCAUAUCGACGGCGGUGUUUGGCACCUCGAUGUCGGCUCAUCACAUCCUGGGGCUGAAGUAGGUCCCAAGGGUAUGGCUGUUCGCCAUUUAAAGUGGUACGCGAGCUGGGUUUAGAACGUCGUGAGACAGUUCGGUCCCUAUCUGCCGUGGGCGCUGGAGAACUGAGGGGGGCUGCUCCUAGUACGAGAGGACCGGAGUGGACGCAUCACUGGUGUUCGGGUUGUCAUGCCAAUGGCACUGCCCGGUAGCUAAAUGCGGAAGAGAUAAGUGCUGAAAGCAUCUAAGCACGAAACUUGCCCCGAGAUGAGUUCUCCCUGAGACUUUAAGUCUCCUGAAGGAACGUUGAAGACGACGACGUUGAUAGGCCGGGUGUGUAAGCGCAGCGAUGCGUUGAGCUAACCGGUACUAAUGAACCGUGAGGCUUAACCUU